Molecule: long non-coding RNA, 718 nt
Filed under: Mus caroli (Ryukyu mouse)
Lineage: Eukaryota; Metazoa; Chordata; Mammalia; Rodentia; Muridae
Description: lncRNA (MGP_CAROLIEiJ_G0004185.1)
Source: RNAcentral
AUUUCUAUUUUUCUGAGAUGGAAAACGGCUCAUGAUUGCCUGUUCCCCGAGUGAGAGCGUCCGUGGAGUCAGUCCUGCAGUACAUCUGGUACUAUCAGAUCUAUCAAGAGAGACUCGGCUUAGGCAAUGCAUCCAGCAACCUACAGAUAGUAAAUGGGGAUGCCAAAUCCAUAUUGAGACUUAGCGAGGUGGCUUGAGGCAAACAAAUAUGGAUCUGACAGGGAUGCUGCAGUGUGGUUCGAAAGAUAACAUGCAUACCCAAAAAUUGAUGGAGCUCUAUAAUGUAAUGAAAGAGAGCCAGUGAGUUUCGCUGGUAUCUGUGUCAGCCAGGAUCUCCUCAUUCCAGAAGAAUAACUGCAGGGGUCUGGGGUAUCCUUGUGUAUGAACCAGGAAAUGGCGAAGCUUGUUCUAAGCUCACUUGAAGCCAAAUUACAAAGGAGCAGACGGGAUCCCAGAAACAAAGAUCGUACCAGCUACGAUUUAAGAUUCCAAGAAGAUGAAUCUGGAGUGGACCAAAAUCUGGUGUAGAGACUUAUACCCUGUGUCAGCCAGCUGCCUGUGACCGCGACAAACAUCUGAGUCAUGUUUGUUGACUCAACAAACAUGGGUCAAUUUAAGGAGAGGAACUGGGAGAUGGCCCGGAUGGUAAAGCACUUGCUGGGUAAGAAUGAGAGACUGCGAUCAGGUCCCCAGUACCAAGGUAAAAAGCUGGCUGCAG